AGAGUUGAUCCUGGCUUAGGACGAACGCUGGCGGCGUGCCUAACACAUGCAAGUCGAACGGACGAGGGGAGCUGCUCCCCAAGUUAGUGGCGGACGGGUGAGUAACACGUGAGCAACCUGCCCUUCGGAGGGGGACAACAGUUGGAAACGACUGCUAAUACCGCAUGACACAGCGGGGAGGCAUCUCCCUGCUGUCAAAAGAUUAUAUCGCCGAAGGAUGGGCUCGCGUCUGAUUAGAUAGUUGGUGAGGUAACGGCCCACCAAGUCAACGAUCAGUAGCCGGACUGAGAGGUUGAACGGCCACAUUGGGACUGAGAUACGGCCCAGACUCCUACGGGAGGCAGCAGUGGGGAAUAUUGGGGCCAAUGGGGGGCAACCCUGACCCAGCAACGCCGCGUGAAGGAAGAAGGCUUUCGGGUUGUAAACUUCUUUGACGAGGGACGAUAGUGACGGUACCUCGAAAACAAGCCACGGCUAACUACGUGCCAGCCGCCGC
RNAcentral lists this ribosomal RNA (496 nucleotides) under uncultured bacterium. RNAcentral's name for it is "bacterial SSU rRNA". It matches the Rfam family "Bacterial small subunit ribosomal RNA", at positions 8 to 518 of the family's 1533-position model. The record is from RNAcentral.